GCCUCUAUAGCUUAGUGGUAGAGCGUUGCACUUGUAAUGCAGAGGUCGUUUGUUCAAUCCAGACUGGAGGCA
Molecule: transfer RNA, 72 nt
Filed under: Dactylellina haptotyla CBS 200.50
Lineage: Eukaryota; Fungi; Ascomycota; Orbiliomycetes; Orbiliales; Orbiliaceae
Description: tRNA-Thr (TGT) (tRNA-Thr-TGT-1-1, tRNA-Thr-TGT-1-2)
Rfam family: tRNA
About the family: Transfer RNA (tRNA) molecules are approximately 80 nucleotides in length. Their secondary structure includes four short double-helical elements and three loops (D, anti-codon, and T loops).
Source: RNAcentral